Molecule: transfer RNA, 72 nt
Filed under: Ornithorhynchus anatinus (platypus)
Lineage: Eukaryota; Metazoa; Chordata; Mammalia; Monotremata; Ornithorhynchidae
Rfam family: tRNA
About the family: Transfer RNA (tRNA) molecules are approximately 80 nucleotides in length. Their secondary structure includes four short double-helical elements and three loops (D, anti-codon, and T loops). Further hydrogen bonds mediate the characteristic L-shaped molecular structure. tRNAs have two regions of fundamental functional importance: the anti-codon, which is responsible for specific mRNA codon recognition, and the 3' end, to which the tRNAs corresponding amino acid is attached (by aminoacyl-tRNA synthetases). tRNAs cope with the degeneracy of the genetic code in two manners: having more than one tRNA (with a specific anti-codon) for a particular amino acid; and 'wobble' base-pairing, i.e. permitting non-standard base-pairing at the 3rd anti-codon position.
Source: Rfam by way of RNAcentral
AGCAGCGUGGCUCAGUGGAAAGAGCACGGGCUUGGGAGUCAGGGGUCCUGGGUUCGAAUCCCAGCUCUGCCA